This 253-nucleotide ribosomal RNA is filed under the name uncultured bacterium. RNAcentral's name for it is "partial 16S ribosomal RNA". It matches the Rfam family "Bacterial small subunit ribosomal RNA", at positions 524 to 776 of the family's 1533-position model. The record is from RNAcentral.
UACGGAGGGUGCAAGCGUUGUCCGGAUUUAUUGGGUUUAAAGGGUGCGUAGGUGGCCCGUUAAGUCAGCGGUGAAAUCCCGGGGCUCAACCCCGGAACUGCCGUUGAUACUGGCGGGCUUGAGUUCGGUGAAGGCGGGCGGAACUGGCGGUGUAGCGGUGAAAUGCUUAGAUACCGCCAAGAACCCCGAUUGCGUAGGCAGCUCGCUGUGCCGAAACUGACGCUGAGGCACGAAAGCGUGGGGAGCGAACAGG